UUGGAGGGCAAGUCUGGUGCCAGCAGCCGCGGUAAUUCCAGCUCCAGUAGCGUAUAUUAAAGUUGUUGUGGUUAAAAAGCUCGUAGUUGAACCUUGGGCCUGGCUGGCCGGUCCGCCUCACCGCGUGCACUGGUCCGGCCGGGCCUUUCCCUCUGCGGAACCCCAUGCCCUUCACUGGGUGUGGCGGGGAAACAGGACUUUUACUUUGAAAAAAUUAGAGUGCUCAAGGCAGGCCUAUGCUCGAAUACAUUAGCAUGGAAUAAUAGAAUAGGA
Molecule: ribosomal RNA, 273 nt
Filed under: uncultured Ascomycota
Lineage: Eukaryota; Fungi; Ascomycota
Description: partial 18S ribosomal RNA
Rfam family: Eukaryotic small subunit ribosomal RNA
Source: RNAcentral